Non-coding RNA from Anas platyrhynchos (mallard), 1532 nucleotides. NCBI's taxonomy places the organism in Eukaryota, Metazoa, Chordata, Aves, Anseriformes, Anatidae. The record is from RefSeq and is a predicted model, not a curated record.
CCCUGAGGCGCUGCGCGAGGCCCCGGCCCGGCCCGGCCCGCGGGCGCCAUCUUCUCACCUCAGGCGCCGCGGGGGGCCCGUGCGAGGCGGGGAGCGAGCCGAGGAGCGAGCCGAGGUUGUGGCGCAUUCUGAAGUUGCGUUGGCUCUUCGCUCGUUUUUCCCCUUGUGAACACCUCAAAACAAAUAAAAAAACAACGGCCAAAGGUUUAAAACAGUUGAAACUGUUAUGUUUUCUCUGGCAAUGACUCAUCCAUCUGUAACUAGAGCAAAAAUUCCAGGCAGGUACAGUGUCUCCUCCCCAAGAGAAAGUAAAGGAAGUACUCGGUGCCAUCGUUCUUCCAGAAGGCUGAUCAUCCGAGUUUGGUGACCCGGACCACCAGAGCUAAGUGCCGGGGAGCUUCCCGACGCGAGGAGGUAGGCGAGGGAGCCCCGAUACGCCUCGUCUGCGGGCUGCAGGAUGGCGACGAGAGGAAAUCCCGGGCAUCCGCACCCCUGCCGAGCUGAGGCUGCACACCGGGCUCCUCGGAAGGCUGCGCCCAGGAGCAGAUGGGGACAGACGGGUUACGUGACAUGCUCAGGAUCACAUGAGCAGUCUGUGUCAAGAGUGAGAAACUGCACCUGGAUCUCUCAGUUGUGAGGCUGCUGCUCUGGCACCGCGUCAUCCUGACUGCAAACACAACACCGGGAUUGACUUUGCCUAUGUCCUUCCUAUGGCUACCAAUGUGCCCACCUGCUGACUGCAGAGCCAGUACUCUGCACCGUGUGCCCAAAGCAAGCCUGGAAUUUCCUUGCGAGGUCCGAAACCUUCAGCAUCGUGGCCAGAGAGACUAAUAGGGGGAUUUUAAGGCUUUAAGUCUGCAGUGACCCAGUCCAGUGGAUCCUUUUGAAGCAUAUGAGAAGACUUUCAACAGUGAUGCACAGAAAAGCAAAUAGGACGUUGGUGUAGUGACAACCCUGCUGUGGCUCCAUGUGCAUCUCUAAUGGAGGAGACACGAUCUCAGGCACAUGCAGCUGAAGUUUGGAUUUCUCUGCACAGCAGACUGAGGUUUCCAGGGUCCCAAGGUACAUGUGAGUACCUGCACACUGGACUGCAGUCCCUCACACACUAAUGAAAUCUGACUUGCUGGGUCACCCUCCUGCUUCAUUUGCAGUGACACAAUAUCAUUUAAAGUUGUUUGCUUAUUACAGAGAUAAUAUCACAAGGUGUGGUGCCCUGAUGGGAGUCUAGCAAGAAAGUAACACUCAUGCACCCUCCCACCUUUGGCAGAUCGUCUGAGGGUCCCUCAUUGGCUUCGUGACGGAAAGUGGUUGAUUCACCUCCACCCAGCGGUAAUUACCUGUUGCUGUCUGCUGGAAGUUCCCAUGUUUGGCACUGGAGUGGUAAGCCUAGAACUCACUGCUGAGAUUAACUGCAAUGUAAAACCAUGAUUUCUUGAUGCCUCUGUUUUAUAUUCAGCCUAGUAAAAGUUGCUUAGUGCAUUAUAUCAUUUACUUGUGAUAUUAUAUAAUCAUUAAAAUAUGCCUAAUUGCUG